UACCAGUCACUUUCUGAGUCAUUAAAA
RNAcentral lists this small RNA (27 nucleotides) under Bombyx mori (domestic silkworm). RNAcentral's name for it is "ovarian small RNA-20586". The record is from RNAcentral. Lineage: Eukaryota; Metazoa; Arthropoda; Insecta; Lepidoptera; Bombycidae.